AUCUCCAGCCUUACCACCUUGAACACACAUGAUUUGUUUGAUCUCAGAAGCUAAGCAGGAAUAGACCUAGUUAGUACCUGGAUGUU
Molecule: ribosomal RNA, 86 nt
Filed under: Dipodomys ordii (Ord's kangaroo rat)
Lineage: Eukaryota; Metazoa; Chordata; Mammalia; Rodentia; Heteromyidae
Source: RNAcentral